CGCAUCUGUGCAUGCAGCAUAUCAAUAAGCGGAGGAAAAGAAACUAACAAGGAUUCCCCUAGUAACGGCGAGUGAAGCGGGAAGAGCUCAAAUUUGAAAUCUUAAAGGGUUUCCCUUUACGAAUUGUAGUUUAAAGAAGUGUUUUCUGUAGAGGUUUUGGUAAAAGUUCUUUGGAAUAGGACAUCAUAGAGGGUGAGAAUCCCGUAUUUGACCUUUACUUUCAACUUUGUGAUACACUUUCAAAGAGUCGGAUUGUUUGGGAAUGCAGUCCAAAAUGGGUGGUAAAUUUCAUCUAAAGCUAAAUAUUGGCGAGAGACCGAUAGCGAACAAGUACCGUGAGGGAAAGAUGAAAGGAACUUUGAAAAGAGAGUUAAACAGUACGUGAAAUUGUCAAAAGGGAAGCGUUUGACACCAGUGUUGUUUUUCUGAAAAUCAAUUAAAGAACUGUUUAUGCUAAGUUGUUUAGACUUUAUCAGCUAACUGUUUAGUUUUGAGCUUUUCUUUAAUGCACUCUUCAGUUAACAAGUCAACAUCAAUUUCUUUUGCUGUAAAAAAGCUUGAGGAAGGUGGCUUGAGAUUCGUCUUAAGUGUUUAUAGCCUCUUGCCUAUGCAGUCGGAGAGAUUGAGGUCUGCAGCGUAGAUCCUUCGGGGCUAAAUGCAUUUGUGCUAAGUUAUAGCAUUUUAUAGACAACUUGUUGACUAUGAUUUGUCUUGUAGCUUACUCGCUUAUGUUAUUUUACCUACGCUUAGGAUGUUGACAGCAGUAUAGACUGU
Molecule: ribosomal RNA, 774 nt
Filed under: uncultured Neocallimastigales
Lineage: Eukaryota; Fungi; Neocallimastigomycota; Neocallimastigomycetes; Neocallimastigales
Description: partial large subunit ribosomal RNA
Rfam family: Eukaryotic large subunit ribosomal RNA
Source: RNAcentral